UACGGGGGGGGCGAGCGUUGUUCGGAAUUACUGGGCGUAAAGGGCGCGUAGGCGGUCUCGGAAGUUCUGGGUGAAAGUCCCCGGCUCAACCGGGGGAGGUCCCAGGAAACCACGGGGCUGGAGUGCUGGAGAGGGAAGUGGAAUUCCCGGUGGAGCGGUGAAAUGCGUAGAGAUCGGGAGGAACACCGGAGGCGAAGGCGGCUUCCUGGACAGACACUGACGCUGAGGCGCGAAAGCCAGGGGAGCGAACGGGAUUAGAUACCCCGGUAGUCCUGGCCCUAAACGAUGAACACUGGGUGUGGGGGGCGCGAAAGCCUUCCGUGCCGGAGACAACUUGUUAAGUGUUCCGCCUGGGGAGUACGGCCGCAAGGCUGAA
Molecule: ribosomal RNA, 376 nt
Filed under: uncultured bacterium
Lineage: Bacteria
Description: bacterial SSU rRNA
Rfam family: Bacterial small subunit ribosomal RNA
Source: RNAcentral